AUUGAACGCUGGCGGCAUGCCUUACACAUGCAAGUCGAACGGUAACGGGCCUUCGGGUGCCGACGAGUGGCGAACGGGUGAGUAAUACAUCGGAACGUGCCCGAUCGUGGGGGAUAACGAGGCGAAAGCUUUGCUAAUACCGCAUACGAUCUACGGAUGAAAGCAGGGGACCGCAAGGCCUUGCGCGGACGGAGCGGCCGAUGGCAGAUUAGGUAGUUGGUGGGAUAAAAGCUUACCAAGCCGACGAUCUGUAGCUGGUCUGAGAGGAUGAUCAGCCACACUGGGACUGAGACACGGCCCAGACUCCUACGGGAGGCAGCAGUGGGGAAUUUUGGACAAUGGGCGCAAGCCUGAUCCAGCCAUGCCGCGUGCAGGAUGAAGGCCUUCGGGUUGUAAACUGCCUUUGUACGGAACGAAAAGCCUUCUUUUAAUACAGGAGGGUCAUGACGGUACCAUAAGAAUAAGCACCGGCUAACUACGUG
This 482-nucleotide ribosomal RNA is filed under the name uncultured bacterium. RNAcentral's name for it is "partial 16S ribosomal RNA". It matches the Rfam family "Bacterial small subunit ribosomal RNA", at positions 30 to 507 of the family's 1533-position model. The record is from RNAcentral.